Molecule: long non-coding RNA, 911 nt
Organism: Marmota monax (woodchuck)
Lineage: Eukaryota; Metazoa; Chordata; Mammalia; Rodentia; Sciuridae
Exons: 3
Source: RefSeq, a predicted model, not a curated record
UAAUAGCAGUCUCAAAUCCUUUCUGGAAGGAGGCAGGGUUUAUAAAUAAACAGAAAAGAAAUACAACUGACUCAAACUGAAAUUUGUGGAUCUGGUUUGACGUGGCAGAUGUGUUUAAUAGAGCUUAAGAGAGAGAGAGCUGAGGAUACCCAUUAAAUUACCAAAUGAUUGAAAUUCUUGUUCAACAUUGUCUAAAAGAAUCCCAGUGUUGGAGACUUAUAAUAACCACGUGAUCGAUAAAUGAUUAUGAUGAUGUUCUGCAAAUGAGAGUAUAAAAUCACGUACUGGGAUUGAACCCGGAGCCUUGCACAUGCUAGCAAAGUUCUCUAUCUUAGAGCCAUACUUCUAUUCCCCAAUGUUUCCUUUGAUCACCAGUUGGGGCAUGGCAAAGUCAUUGGAACACCACUUCAUUGAUGGCAAAAUGGAGUGGAGCUAUUCACCCUUGUCAUCAGAGAUCCCAGUAAUGGUGGGCCCUCAAUAAACUUGAUUAUCUUUGUUUCCAAGCGGAGAGAGCUGGGACUGGAGCCAGAGUCUCGAGAGAAGUGAGUCAAGAGGCAGAGAUGGAGACCACCUGAUUCCCAAUCACACUGUUAGAUGGAAAAACAAAAAAAAAGCAACAACAAAAACUGUCAUGAGCCAUCCAUGCGUUGCGUGUGGGUCACCAUGCAUCAAAGCCUAGUGGAUAGAAACAUCUGGUGUCUGGGAAUGACCAGUGGACAAUUUCUCUGGUCAAUUGACAGUGUGAAUUUCUGUCCUGCUCUGCCGUGUCCCAUGCAGCACCUGAGAUGGGUGAUACAUGCCAAGAUGCCAAUCAAGUUGCUGACUGCAAGACAUCAGGAAGCAAGACUCUGCCCUUGAAACCUUAUCCCUGCCUUUGAUGUACCCCCUUAAAUAAACCACCAGAGCCAUCA